Molecule: ribosomal RNA, 468 nt
Filed under: uncultured bacterium
Lineage: Bacteria
Description: partial 16S ribosomal RNA
Rfam family: Bacterial small subunit ribosomal RNA
Source: RNAcentral
GAUGAACGCUGGCGGCGUGCUUAACACAUGCAAGUCGAACGAAAAGGCCCUGCUUUUGUGGGGUGCUCGAGUGGCGAACGGGUGUGUAUCACGUGAGUAUCAUGCACUUGACUUUGGGAUAACUUCAGGAAACAGGGGCUAAUACCGGGUAGAAGAUACUGCUGCAUGGGGGGGGAUGGAAAGAUUCGGCGGUUGGGGAUUGACUCGAGGGUUAUCAGCUUGUUGGUGGGGUUGUGGCUUACCAAGGUUUUGAAGGGUAGCCUGCCUGAGAGGGUGACCGGCGCCACUGGCACCUAGGGACGGCCGCGACUCCUACGGUAGGCAGCAGGGGGGAAGCUUGCCGAAGCGGCGGAAGCCGGGUGAUGCAACGCUUCGGGCGGGAUAACGGCGUUCGGGUUGUAAACCGCAUGUGCCUGUAACGAAGCGUGUGUGGCGGUAAUGUGUAAAGAAGCACCGGCUAACUACGUG